GCGGGAAGGACAGCCUCCUAUUCUCAUAAUUAUGGUACUCAUUACCAAGGCAACCAGGACUCAGCGUGUACUCACUCUGUCCACAAGGACUAUAUACAAUACUUCCUACACAAAGACAAACUGGCUGUCGUCCAGUCGGACACAGUUGACUUAUUGGAUGUACUAGUUUCCCUGAGGACCAUUUAUAAUUAUAGUGAGCUAAGUUCUGAGAAACUUGUUUAUGGUUGCCACCCUUGGCACACCAACAGUCUGUGGCAGUAAUAAAGAAAUGGCUUCUUUGCACAGAUUGGAGGGUGUGUUCUACGUAUUGGACAGAAUCUGGAGCGGUACAGGCUGGAACCAGUCGCUCACACCAUUGACGACCAUAAUGCCAACUCUAUAUAAGGAAUCAAAUCAUGAUCAUGCAUCCACGUAUUAAUAAUUAUAUGCGUAUGAUUACCAGUGAG
This is a long non-coding RNA of Halichondria panicea, 446 nucleotides long. RefSeq lists it as uncharacterized. The transcript is spliced from 3 exons. The record is from RefSeq and is a predicted model, not a curated record. NCBI's taxonomy places the organism in Eukaryota, Metazoa, Porifera, Demospongiae, Suberitida, Halichondriidae.